This is a long non-coding RNA of Oreochromis niloticus (Nile tilapia), 183 nucleotides long. RefSeq lists it as uncharacterized. The transcript is spliced from 3 exons. NCBI's taxonomy places the organism in Eukaryota, Metazoa, Chordata, Actinopteri, Cichliformes, Cichlidae. The record is from RefSeq and is a predicted model, not a curated record.
CUGCUCAGCUGUGUACUCUGUUACAUGUGACGCACACACAGUGCUGAAAGUAAUGUCAACAAUAGAGUCUCAGCUUCUCUGCCAGGUACAAUCUCAUGUGGUCAUCGAUUUAGACUUUUGCAGGUGGAAUAAUAGAGAAGCAGAUCGGUGAAGGGAGUACAUAAAGUCUGGACUAUAUGUUUU